Chiloscyllium plagiosum (whitespotted bambooshark) is the source of this 387-nucleotide non-coding RNA. Lineage: Eukaryota; Metazoa; Chordata; Chondrichthyes; Orectolobiformes; Hemiscylliidae. The record is from RefSeq and is a predicted model, not a curated record.
GAGAGAGAGAUGGACUCCAAUUGCCUCUGAUGCAGUUCAAUGAACAGUAAUUAGCAUAAGAUUAAAAACAGCCAAGUUGGAUAGCAACAGUGGAUAAAGCAGAAACUGUGAACCAAAGACACAAGAAUCAAACUUUUGAUGUUUAAUCUAACUUUGAGUGCGAGCAGCAGCUAAGACAUCCAGGAGAUGCAACCUGGCCAGGCAAUGGGAGGAAAGAGUGACGUUAGAAGACACUUUACCAUCAUGUGAUUUGCAUGCACAUGGCCACAAGUUCAGAUAUUGACAGUGUGAGGAGCUACAGCUAGAUUAAGAUAAUAACUAUGUUAUUGCUCUAGAAAGGCCUGGCCAUGUGGCUUUGAGACAUGAUUUCAAAUCCUGCCAUGGCAA